RNAcentral lists this ribosomal RNA (1362 nucleotides) under Clostridioides difficile. RNAcentral describes it as "bacterial LSU rRNA". It matches the Rfam family "Bacterial large subunit ribosomal RNA", at positions 768 to 2148 of the family's 2925-position model. The record is from RNAcentral. Lineage: Bacteria; Bacillati; Bacillota; Clostridia; Peptostreptococcales; Peptostreptococcaceae.
GGAGGUCCGAACCCACGAGCGUUGAAAAGCUCGGGGAUGACUUGUGGGUAGCGGUGAAAUUCCAAUCGAGCCCGGAGAUAGCUGGUUCUCCCCGAAAUAGCUUUAGGGCUAGCCUCAAGGUGAGAGAUACGGAGGUAGAGCACUGAAUGUCCUAGGGGGUAUUGCACCUACCGAAGACUAUCAAACUCCGAAUGCCGUCAUCUUAUACUUGGGAGUCAGACUGUGGGUGAUAAGAUUCAUAGUCGAAAGGGCAACAGCCCAGAUCGUCAGCUAAGGUCCCUAAAUGUAAGUUAAGUGGUAAAGGAUGUGGGAUUGCACAGACAACCAGGAUGUUGGCUUAGAAGCAGCCACUCAUUCAAAGAGUGCGUAAUAGCUCACUGGUCGAGUGAUCCUGCGCCGAAGAUUUCCGGGGCUAAAACUUACUACCGAAGCUACGGCAUCAGUAAUGAUGGGUAGGGGAGCUUCCCAUACGGGUUGAAGCAUGACCGUAAGGACAUGUGGACAGUAUGGGAGUGAGAAUGUUGGCAUGAGUAGCGAGAUGUGGGUGAGAAUCCCACAGGCCGUAAACCCAAGGUUUCCAGGGGAAGGUUCGUCCGCCCUGGGUUAGUCGGGACCUAAGCUGAGGCCGAAAGGCGUAGGUGAUGGACAACAGGUUGAUAUUCCUGUACUACCGAUAACCGUUUGAGAGAAGGGAUGACACAGUAGGAUAAGCUAAGCACACUGUUGGUUAUGUGUGCCCAAGCAUUGAGGCAGUCAAAGUAGGCAAAUCCGCUUUGAUAAUGCUGGGAUGUGAUGGGGAGCGAAAUUUAGUAGCGAAGUAGCUGAUUUCACACUGUCAAGAAAAGUCUCUAUCGAGGUUAAAGGUACCCGUACCGCAAACCGACACAGGUGGGUGAGGAGAGUAUCCUAAGGCCAGCGAGAGAACUGUUGUUAAGGAACUCGGCAAAAUGACCCCGUAACUUAGGGAUAAGGGGUGCCACCAUCAGGUGGCCGCAGAGAAUAGGCCCAAGCGACUGUUUACCAAAAACAUAGGUUUCUGCUAAGUCGCAAGACGAUGUAUAGGAGCUGACGCCUGCCCGGUGCUGGAAGGUUAAGGGGAUCUGUUAGAGCAAUCGAAGCAGUGAACUUAAGCCCCAGUAAACGGCGGCCGUAACUAUAACGGUCCUAAGGUAGCGAAAUUCCUUGUCGGGUAAGUUCCGACCCGCACGAAAGGCGUAACGAUUUGGGCACUGUCUCAACAACAGACUCGGUGAAAUUGUAAUUCCGGUGAAGAUGCCGGAUACCUGCGACAGGACGGAAAGACCCCAUGGAGCUUUACUGUAGCUUGACAUUGGGUCUUGGUACUACAUGUACAGGAUAGGU